UGAUCAUGGCUCAGAUUGAACGCUGGCAGGAUCUUUACACAUGCAAGUCGAACGGCAGCACCGGACUUCGGUCUGGUAGUAGUGGCGAACGGGUGAACGUGUUAUCGGAACGUGCCUAGUAGCGGGGGAUAACUACGCGAAAGCUGUGGCUGAUACCACAUACGCCCUUCGGGGGAAAGCAGAGGGGACCUUCGGGCCUCGCACUAUUAGAGCGGCCACGAUAUCGGUUCCAGCUAGUUGGUGGGGUAACGGCUCGCAAGGCGACGAUCCGUAGCUGGUUUGGGGAACGACCAGCCACACUGGGACUGAGACACGGCCCAGACUCCUACGGGAGCUGACGUGGGGAAUUUUGGACAAUGGGGAAACCCUGAUCCAGCCAUCCCGCGUGUGCGAUGAAGGCCUUCGGGUUGUAAAGCACUUUUGGCAGGAAAAGGAGAAACGGCACGGGAUAAUACCAUUGCAGCUGACGGUAUAAGAUAACCGGCAUAACUACGUGCCAAACAUACGUUAAUAUACGUAAGGGUGCAAGCGUUAAUCAGGAUUCACUGGGCGUAAAGCGUGCGCGGCGGUUCAGAAGAAAGGAUGUGAAAUCAGGCUUAACUUUGGAACUGCAUUUUUAACUACCGAGCUAGAGUGUGUCAGAGGAGGUGGAGCUAGCGUGUAGCAAUUGAAAUGCGUAGAUAUGCGGAGGAACACCGAUGGCGAGAAGCAGCCUCCUGGGAUUGGCUGUCAUGCGGCGUGGGGAGCAAACAGGAUUAGAUGCCUGGUAGUCCACGCCUAAACGAUCAUCAGCUGGCUGUUGGGGCCUUCUGGACUGGUGGCGCAGCUAACGUGAGGAUGAUGUACAAGUUUCGAUGCCAGAUUAAAGCCUCAAAGGAAUUAUUGGGGACCCGCACAAGCGGUGGAUGAUGUGGAUUAAUUCGAUGCAACGCGAAAAACCUUACCUACCCAACAGACAUGUCUGGAAUCCCGAAAGAGAUUUGGGAGUGCUCGCAAGAGAACCGGAACACAGGUGCUGCAUGGCUGUCGUGUCGUGUCGUGAUUGGGUUCGGAUGCUGUCAACAGGCACCAGCGUUCCCACUUGUCAUUAGUUGCUACGAAGACUCUAAUAGGACUGCCGGUGACAAACCGGAGGAAGGUGGGGAUGACGUCAGUUCCCGCCGUGGCCCUUAUGGGCGGGCACCGCGUCAUACAAUGGUCAGGACAGAGGGUCGCCAACCCGCGAGGGAACCAAUCCCAGAAACCCGAUCGUAGUCCAUGCGGAUCUGAUCUGCUGGCUCGACUGCGUAGAGUCGGAUCACUAGUAAUGCAACGGAUCGCGCAUGUCGCGGUGAAUACGUUCCCGGUCAUACGCUGCCCGUCACGUAUUGGGGAGUGGGUUUUACCAGAAGUAGUUAGCCUAACCGUAAGGGCGAUUACCACGGUAGGAUUCGGCUGGGGUGAAGUCGUAACAGGUAA
This 1458-nucleotide ribosomal RNA is filed under the name uncultured Bordetella sp. Its description in RNAcentral is "partial 16S-23S ribosomal RNA intergenic spacer". It matches the Rfam family "Bacterial small subunit ribosomal RNA". Lineage: Bacteria; Pseudomonadati; Pseudomonadota; Betaproteobacteria; Burkholderiales; Alcaligenaceae. The record is from RNAcentral.